Molecule: ribosomal RNA, 462 nt
Filed under: uncultured bacterium
Lineage: Bacteria
Description: partial 16S ribosomal RNA
Rfam family: Bacterial small subunit ribosomal RNA
Source: RNAcentral
GACGAACGCUGGCGGCGUGCUUAACACAUGCAAGUCGAACGGAAAGGCCCUUCGGGGUACUCGAGUGGCGAACGGGUGAGUAACACGUGGGUGAUCUGCCCUGCACUUUGGGAUAAGCCUGGGAAACUGGGUCUAAUACCGAAUAGGACCACGCGCUUCAUGGUGUGUGGUGGAAAGCUUUUGCGGUGUGGGAUGGGCCCGCGGCCUAUCAGCUUGUUGGUGGGGUAAUGGCCUACCAAGGCGACGACGGGUAGCCGGCCUGGGAGGGUGACCGGCCACACUGGGACUGAGAUACGGCCCAGACUCCUACGGGAGGCAGCAGUGGGGAAUAUUGCACAAUGGGCGCAAGCCUGAUGCAGCGACGCCGCGUGAGGGAUGACGGCCUUCGGGUUGUAAACCUCUUUCAAUAGGGACGAAGCGCAAGUGACGGUACCUAUAGAAGAAGCACCGGCCAACUACGUG